RNAcentral lists this ribosomal RNA (422 nucleotides) under uncultured prokaryote. RNAcentral's name for it is "bacterial SSU rRNA". It matches the Rfam family "Bacterial small subunit ribosomal RNA", at positions 355 to 774 of the family's 1533-position model. The record is from RNAcentral.
UAAGGAAUAUUGGUCAAUGGACGCAAGUCUGAACCAGCCAUGCCGCGUGCAGGAUGACGGCCCUAUGGGUUGUAAACUGCUUUUGUACGGGAAGAACUACAUUUACGAGUAAAUGUUUGACGGUACCGUAAGAAUAAGGAUCGGCUAACUCCGUGCCAGCAGCCGCGGUAAUACGGAGGGUCCGAGCGUUAUCCGGAUUUAUUGGGUUGAAAGGGUGCGCAGGCGGGUAUAUAAGUCAGAGGUGAAAUUCCAGGGCUCAACCUUGGGACUGCCUUUGAUACUGUAUGUCUAGAGUAUAGUUGGGGUGUGCGGAAUGUAGCAUGUAGCGGUGAAAUGCUUAGAUAUGCUACAGAACACCGAUCGUGAAGACAGCUCACUAAGCUAUAACUGACGCUCAGGCACGAAAGCAUGGGGAGCAAACA